GUCCCGGUAGCCCAACCGGCAGGAGGCAAUGCCCUCAAAAGGCAUACAGUGUGGGUUCGAAUCCCACCCGGGACA
Molecule: transfer RNA, 75 nt
Filed under: Streptomyces humicola
Lineage: Bacteria; Bacillati; Actinomycetota; Actinomycetes; Kitasatosporales; Streptomycetaceae
Description: tRNA-Leu
Rfam family: tRNA
About the family: Transfer RNA (tRNA) molecules are approximately 80 nucleotides in length. Their secondary structure includes four short double-helical elements and three loops (D, anti-codon, and T loops).
Source: RNAcentral